CUUAAAUUGAAGAGUUUGAUCAUGGCUCAGAUUGAACGCUGGCGGCAGGCCUAACACAUGCAAGUCGAGCGGUAGCACAGAGAGCUUGCUCUCGGGUGACGAGCGGCGGACGGGUGAGUAAUGUCUGGGAAACUGCCUGAUGGAGGGGGAUAACUACUGGAAACGGUAGCUAAUACCGCAUAAUGUCGCAAGACCAAAGUGGGGGACCUUCGGGCCUCAUGCCAUCAGAUGUGCCCAGAUGGGAUUAGCUAGUAGGUGGGGUAACGGCUCACCUAGGCGACGAUCCCUAGCUGGUCUGAGAGGAUGACCAGCCACACUGGAACUGAGACACGGUCCAGACUCCUACGGGAGGCAGCAGUGGGGAAUAUUGCACAAUGGGCGCAAGCCUGAUGCAGCCAUGCCGCGUGUGUGAAGAAGGCCUUCGGGUUGUAAAGCACUUUCAGCGGGGAGGAAGGCGUUAAGGUUAAUAACCUUGGCGAUUGACGUUACCCGCAGAAGAAGCACCGGCUAACUCCGUGCCAGCAGCCGCGGUAAUACGGAGGGUGCAAGCGUUAAUCGGAAUUACUGGGCGUAAAGCGCACGCAGGCGGUCUGUCAAGUCGGAUGUGAAAUCCCCGGGCUCAACCUGGGAACUGCAUUCGAAACUGGCAGGCUAGAGUCUUGUAGAGGGGGGUAGAAUUCCAGGUGUAGCGGUGAAAUGCGUAGAGAUCUGGAGGAAUACCGGUGGCGAAGGCGGCCCCCUGGACAAAGACUGACGCUCAGGUGCGAAAGCGUGGGGAGCAAACAGGAUUAGAUACCCUGGUAGUCCACGCCGUAAACGAUGUCGAUUUGGAGGUUGUGCCCUUGAGGCGUGGCUUCCGGAGCUAACGCGUUAAAUCGACCGCCUGGGGAGUACGGCCGCAAGGUUAAAACUCAAAUGAAUUGACGGGGGCCCGCACAAGCGGUGGAGCAUGUGGUUUAAUUCGAUGCAACGCGAAGAACCUUACCUGGUCUUGACAUCCACAGAACUUUCCAGAGAUGGAUUGGUGCCUUCGGGAACUGUGAGACAGGUGCUGCAUGGCUGUCGUCAGCUCGUGUUGUGAAAUGUUGGGUUAAGUCCCGCAACGAGCGCAACCCUUAUCCUUUGUUGCCAGCGGUUAGGCCGGGAACUCAAAGGAGACUGCCAGUGAUAAACUGGAGGAAGGUGGGGAUGACGUCAAGUCAUCAUGGCCCUUACGACCAGGGCUACACACGUGCUACAAUGGCAUAUACAAAGAGAAGCGACCUCGCGAGAGCAAGCGGACCUCAUAAAGUAUGUCGUAGUCCGGAUUGGAGUCUGCAACUCGACUCCAUGAAGUCGGAAUCGCUAGUAAUCGUAGAUCAGAAUGCUACGGUGAAUACGUUCCCGGGCCUUGUACACACCGCCCGUCACACCAUGGGAGUGGGUUGCAAAAGAAGUAGGUAGCUUAACCUUCGGGAGGGCGCUUACCACUUUGUGAUUCAUGACUGGGGUGAAGUCGUAACAAGGUAACCGUAGGGGAACCUGCGGUUGGAUCACCUCCUUACC
This 1545-nucleotide ribosomal RNA is filed under the name Klebsiella pneumoniae. Its description in RNAcentral is "bacterial SSU rRNA". It matches the Rfam family "Bacterial small subunit ribosomal RNA". The record is from RNAcentral. Lineage: Bacteria; Pseudomonadati; Pseudomonadota; Gammaproteobacteria; Enterobacterales; Enterobacteriaceae.